UACGUAGGGGGCUAGCGUUGUCCGGAAUCAUUGGGCGUAAAGAGCGUGUAGGCGGUCCGGUAAGUCCGCUGUGAAAGUCGGGGGCUCAACCCUCGAAUGCCGGUGGAUACUGUCGGGCUAGAGUGCGGAAGAGGCGAGUGGAAUUCCUGGUGUAGCGGUGAAAUGCGCAGAUAUCAGGAGGAACACCUAUUGCGAAGGCAGCUCGCUGGGACGUAACUGACGCUGAGACGCGAAAGCGUGGGGAUCAAACAGG
RNAcentral lists this ribosomal RNA (253 nucleotides) under uncultured bacterium. Its description in RNAcentral is "partial 16S ribosomal RNA". It matches the Rfam family "Bacterial small subunit ribosomal RNA", at positions 524 to 776 of the family's 1533-position model. The record is from RNAcentral.